Molecule: non-coding RNA, 132 nt
Organism: Daldinia vernicosa
Lineage: Eukaryota; Fungi; Ascomycota; Sordariomycetes; Xylariales; Hypoxylaceae
Source: the annotation of a RefSeq genome assembly
GGCCUGGUGGUGUAAUUAGAGCACAUUCCUGCCUCGAUAUGUUGCGAGUCGUCCCCCCCCUACUCUAAGUAGGGCUUAUUCCUCAACCUCUAUUGAGCAGGAAAUGAAUGGGUUCGAUUCCCAUCCAGGCCA